RNAcentral lists this transfer RNA (77 nucleotides) under Rhamnusium bicolor. Its description in RNAcentral is "tRNA-OTHER". It matches the Rfam family "tRNA". Rfam says of the family: Transfer RNA (tRNA) molecules are approximately 80 nucleotides in length. Their secondary structure includes four short double-helical elements and three loops (D, anti-codon, and T loops). Lineage: Eukaryota; Metazoa; Arthropoda; Insecta; Coleoptera; Cerambycidae. The record is from RNAcentral.
GGCAUGGUAGCUAAGUGGGUAAAGCGCUUACAGCUAUUGACCGAAUAUCGAUGGUUCGAAUCCAUCCCGGAGCAACA